Molecule: small nuclear RNA, 101 nt
Organism: Raphanus sativus (radish)
Lineage: Eukaryota; Viridiplantae; Streptophyta; Magnoliopsida; Brassicales; Brassicaceae
Source: RefSeq, a predicted model, not a curated record
GUCUCUCUCAGGACAUUUGAUAAAAUAAAAACGACACAUAGAAGAUUAGCACCUUUCUUUAUAGGGAUGAUACGCAACAAAAAAAACAAGAUACUAUUUUU